CUUUCUAAGGUUUCCUUCUCUUCUCUGCUCUGAUCCUCUCUCCUCUCCAAGUCCAGUAAGAAUUAGCACUGAGUUUUCCUUCUUUUUCCUCUCUGUGACAUAGAAAAAGUAAACCAGUUAUGUGAUUCUUUCCGAAUCUAUGGUUUAUGCAACAAUGUGGGUUUGUUCUGUGUCUCAGGAAGAUAAAAAUUAACUUCAUUUGCUUUCCUUUACAUUUGGCUGUACCUCACCUCUCUAUGGUCCUGGAGUCCAAGGUCUAGUUUGCAAGUGUGUAUGUUUAUGUGUGUGCAUUUGUAUGUUUAUUUGUGUGGAGGGAAAGAUGUUAUAAGCAAUGUUUUUGAUAAAUAUUACACCACUGUAGUCGAUAUGGAAGUAAUAUGAUAUUUAUAAAAUUCACAUCAGUGCUAAACAGUGUGCCAUAGAGAUAAAUAUUCUAGAAUGUCACAGGAAGGAGGAAUUCAGUGAGAACCAGAGAAUCGGGGAAGAUUUCAGAGAGGACAUGGGAAUUCAGCGAAAUGAAAAUAAGUAAAUCGAGUAGGUAAGGGGAUUCUAAUUUAGGUGAUCAACAGAAUCACAAACAUAGAUAAGGAAAUAAAUAAGUGUGCCCUUGGAAAAGUGAAAAAGUUCACAAAAGUCUCUUGGUGAUAUUUGAUAGAGUGUAGAGGGGGCAUACGUGUGGUUGAGAUGGAUUACAAAAGACCCAUUACAUUUUCUAUGAAACAUUUUGUUCUAGACUUCAUGAGGUAGAAAAUAAGGAAACAUUUGAAAGGGUUACAACAUGACAGUAGCUAUUUUUUAAAGAGUCAGUAUGUGUUGUUUAGUGAACUGUCCGGCCUGUCAAUUAGUACAACAUUUCUUAAGUAAAGAGCUAAAGAAAUGGCAGGAAUUUGGGAAAGUUAUCCAAUUCUCCUUGGAUAUAACUUGAUCUAGAUUCUGGUCAAUAAGGACAAAAGUGAACUUGAUGCCUGUAUGUUUUGUGGCUGUUUCUCAUCAUUACAUUUAGACUCUGACUUCUUUAGAUCAGUCAUCCAAUGACCAAAAUUUGGAAGUGGUCCCAACUUUUUUUGCAGUGGACCAAGCCAUUCUAUGAUAGGGCCACUCUUUGAAGCCAUACCUUUUUAAAAAUUAACAUUGUGUAUGGUGUUAGAGAGUGUUCUAAUUUCAUUCUUUUCCAUGUAGCUUUCAGUUUUUCCACCACCACUUUUUGAAGAGAUUAUCUUUCUUCCACUGUAUGUUCUUGCCCCUGUUGUCAUAGAUUAGUUGACUAAAGGUGCUUUGGUUUAUAUCUGGGCUUUCUAUCCUGUUCCAUUGAUCUAUAUUUCCAUUUUUGUGCCAGAACCAUAUUGUUUUGAUAAUUGUAGCUUUACACUAUAGUCUGAAGUUAGGGAGCCUGAUUCUUCCAUUUCUGUUUCUUUUUCAAUAUCGCUUUGGCUAUUUGUGGUCUUUUAUGUUUCUAUAAAAGUUUUAUGUUUGAGUAAACUCAAAAUGGAUUAAACAUCUAAAUAUAAGGCCAGAUAGUAUAAAACUCCUAGAGGAAAACAUAGGCAGAAUUCUAUUUGACAUAAAUUACAACAUCAUGGUUGAUGCUCUUCCUAGAGAAAGGUCAGUAAAAAUAAAAAUAAACCAAUGGGACCUAAUUAAACUCAAAAGCUUUUGCACUGCAAAGGAAAACAUUAAAAAAAUAAAAAGACAACCCAAAGAGUGGGAGAAAAUCUUGUAAAUGAUGCAACAGACAAAGGAAUAAUCUCCAAAAUAUACAAGCAGCUCAAACAACUCAACAAUGAAAAAACAAACAGCCCAACUGAAAAAUGGGCAGAAGACCUAAAUAGACAUUUCUCCAAAGAAGACAUAUGGAUGGCCAACAGGCACAUGAAAACAUGCUCAACUUAAUUACUUAUUAGAGAAAUGCAAAUCAAAACUAUAAUGAGGUACCACCUCACACCUGUCAGAAUGGCUAUCAUUAACAAGUCUAACAAAUGCUGGAGAGGGAGUGGAGAAAAGGGUACCCUCCUAUACUGUUGGUGGGAAUGUAAAUUGGUACAACCACUAUGAAAAAAAUGUAUGUAUGUACCUCAGAAAACUAAAUGUAGAACUACCAUAUGACCCAGCAAUCCCACACCUGGUCAUAUAUUCAGACAAUACAUUCAUUGAAAAAGAUACAUGCCCCACUAUGUUUAUUGCAGCACUAUUUACAAUAGCCAAGACAUGGAAAUAACCUAAAUGACCAUCAACAGAUGAAUGCAUUAAGAAUAUAUGAUAUUUUCACACAAUAGAAUAUUAUUCAGCCACAAAAAAAGAACAAAAUAAUGCCAUUUGCAGCAACAUGGAUGGACUCAGAGAUUGUCAUAGAAAAUGAAGUAAGUCCAAAAUGAGAAAGACAAAUACCCCAUGAUAUCACUUACAUGUAGAAUCUAAAAUAUAUCAUAAAAGAUCCUAUCUAUAAAACAGAAAGAGAUCAUGGCCGUGAAGAGCAGACUUGUGGUUGCCAAGGGGGAACGAGUGUGAUGGACAGGGAGUUUGGGGUUAGUAGAUGCAAACUGUUACAUUUGGAAUGGAUAAGCAAUGGGGUCUUACUGUACAGCACAGGGAACUCUGUCCAAUCUCUUGGGUUGGAACAUGAUGGAAGAUAGUAGGAAGAAAAAAAGGAUGUACAUAUAUGUAUGACUAGGUCACUUUGCUGUACAACAGAAAUUGA
This 2695-nucleotide long non-coding RNA is filed under the name Sus scrofa (pig). RNAcentral describes it as "lncRNA (ENSSSCG00035056364.1)". The record is from RNAcentral. Lineage: Eukaryota; Metazoa; Chordata; Mammalia; Artiodactyla; Suidae.